GAGGGAUCAUUACCGAGUUUACAACUCCCAAACCCAAUGUGAACGUUACCAAACUGUUGCCUCGGCGGGAUCUCUGCCCCGGGUGCGUCGCAGCCCCGGACCAAGGCGCCCGCCGGAGGACCAACCAAAACUCUUUUUGUAUACCCCCUCGCGGGUUUUUUAUAAUCUGAGCCUUCUCGGCGCCUCUCGUAGGCGUUUCGAAAAUGAAUCAAAACUUUCAACAACGGAUCUCUUGGUUCUGGCAUCGAUGAAGAACGCAGCGAAAUGCGAUAAGUAAUGUGAAUUGCAGAAUUCAGUGAAUCAUCGAAUCUUUGAACGCACAUUGCGCCCGCCAGUAUUCUGGCGGGCAUGCCUGUCCGAGCGUCAUUUCAACCCUCGAACCCCUCCGGGGGGUCGGCGUUGGGGAUCGGCCCUGCCUCUUGGCGGUGGCCGUCUCCGAAAUACAGUGGCGGUCUCGCCGCAGCCUCUCCUGCGCAGUAGUUUGCACACUCGCAUCGGGAGCGCGGCGCGUCCACAGCCGUUAAACACCCAACUUCUGAAAUGUUGACCUCG
RNAcentral lists this ribosomal RNA (552 nucleotides) under Ascomycota sp. BEA-2010. RNAcentral describes it as "eukaryotic LSU rRNA". The stretch from base 213 to 366 matches the Rfam family "5.8S ribosomal RNA". The record is from RNAcentral. Lineage: Eukaryota; Fungi; Ascomycota.